RNAcentral lists this ribosomal RNA (253 nucleotides) under uncultured bacterium. Its description in RNAcentral is "partial 16S ribosomal RNA". It matches the Rfam family "Bacterial small subunit ribosomal RNA", at positions 524 to 776 of the family's 1533-position model. The record is from RNAcentral.
UUCGGAGGGAGCGAUCGUUACUCGGAAUCACUGGGCGUAAAGGGCGCGUAGGCGGUCUAGCAAGUCUGGUGUGAAAGCCCAGGGCUCAACCCUGGAAGGGCACUGGAAACUGCUAGGCUUGAGUUCCGGAGAGGAGGGGGGAAUUCCCGGUGUAGCGGUGAAAUGCGUAGAUAUCGGGAGGAAUACCGGUGGCGAAGGCGCCCCUCUGGACGGAGACUGACGCUGAGGCGCGAAAGCGUGGGGAGCAAACAGG